Molecule: long non-coding RNA, 5703 nt
Organism: Manihot esculenta (cassava)
Lineage: Eukaryota; Viridiplantae; Streptophyta; Magnoliopsida; Malpighiales; Euphorbiaceae
Exons: 4
Source: RefSeq, a predicted model, not a curated record
CUCUUUUAGUCAAUCUCUUUUGCACUCAAGACUGCUCACUGCGUCUCGGUUUCCUUCGGUACUCUCGUGUUUUCCUCUCUAAAGCCUCUCCCCGCUGCCGCUUCUUCUCCCUGGCUCUUUCCAUGGCGAUCACAACAAGUUUUUUGAAUCUGUCAAGUCCCAGCAGUUCUCCCGCCUUCAAUGCCUCAACCGCGACCCAACAAGAUUAAGGGGUGCACGGGAAAUUAAAGGCAGGCAAGAAAUUGUUGUCUUCUCCAUGGAUAUCGCCUGAGAGAUUUCAAAGAUGUUAUUUGCUCAAGCUGAUGGAAUUCUAUGGGACAUGAACAGUUCAUUUGGAGAGGGACUGUGAACUCAAGAUUUUUACGUCUGACAGUGAUGAAGGGCGUGAUACAUUCUGGCAUUCAAGUGUUCACAUUCUUGGUCAGGUACCGUUCUUCAUUUAUUUGAUUGCUUAAAUUUAGGUUUUUUGUUCUUCUUGAAUUUUGAAGCUCUUGAAUUUUAGUUGAAAGAAAGCACAGGCGACGAUUUGUUAAUAAUUUAUUAUGUUGUUUUGAGUUAGGAAUUUCUUAACAUAUAAUUAUGGGGCAAAACGGUGGCAAAUGAGUAUUUAGCUACUGGAGUAUAUUACAUGGUUGCAAAUGACUUAGUUUCCUGGACUAGGUUUGCCCUUUUUUUAAACUAAUCAUGGAAUUUCUUUGAUUUUCUUUGCUCACUGCUGCACAUGAUGUGCUCAGUUUCCGGUCUCUGAUAUAUCUAUCUUAUGUUUUGUGACUUAUAUAUAUUACGAUAAUGGUCUAGAAGUUAUUAGAGUGAAUUAUCAUGAAGUAUUAUUAGGCAGGAAAAGUUAAAAUCUGGGAAGAACCAAUAGUUUAUAGUGAUGUAAUUUCCCUUCUAAUUAAGUCAAAUAACUCGCUUAAUUGGGCUACGGGAAACAGUAAAAUACUUUAGAUGGAAGUUUGUAAUGCUUUAGAUGUUGUUGGUUUUCAGUCCAUAGUUGUCUGCUCUGGGUUUUCCCAAAUGAAAAUCAACUGGAAGUUGCUUUUGUUUAAUUUUAAGUUCUUGAACCUUUUUGUUAUAUUUUCUUGAACUUACAUAUGAUGCUGUGGAUGAACUAUGCUUUUUUUUUUUUUUUUAAUAAUUGCCUGCAUGAAGAAGCUGUUUUGGUAUUUGCCUUGAUUUAACACGAGGAUUUUCAGUCCUAUGCUCGUUGAUGGAUUAAAUGAUUAUAGCAUGGAUUGACAAGUUCAAUGAGUCGUAUACUUAUUAAUCAUGUUUCCUCCUUUCACAGAAUAACUGAGAUUCUCUAUGAUACUCAUGGUUGGAAAUUGUUGUAACCCAAGUAUAUUAACAUAUUUUGAUGGAAUGGUAGUAAAUUGGGUUUUAAAUCUCAUAUUUUGAUGUCACAAAUAAUUUCCAUUUGGGUUUAGAAGGUGGUUCACCAAAAUUGUCCAUAUUAUGUGUAAUAAGAUAAGAAAUAAUUGGACAAUUUCAAUAUAUUUCUUCAAUGAAGUAGGUAUAUAUACAGAUUAUAAGGUCUUGUUGAGGCAACUCCUAAUAAUCCUCUAUCAAUCAAUUAACCUAUGAUUAUGUAAUCUCCUAUAAUUAUGUAUAGAUUAUAUUCACAUCCUUACACUCCCCCUCAAGUUGGAUCAUAGAUAUUUAUCAUGCCCAAUUUGUUAGAAAGAUAUUCUAUUCGAGACCCAUUUAAAUCUUUGGUGAGUAGAUCACCCAAUUGCUUUCCUGUCUUCACAUAAUUGGUGGAGAUUAAAUUUUCUUGAAUCUUCUCACGGAUGAGAUAACAAUCAAACUUCAAUAUGGUUAGUCCGUUUAUGGUAUACUGGAUUGGAAACAAUGUGAAUAGCAGCCUGAUUAUCACACCAAAGUUUCGUAAGUGACGCAACAUUCAUACCAACUUCCUUCAGUAGAUGCUUUAUCCAUAGAAUCUCACAAGUAGAUUGAGCUAUGACCCUGUAUUCUGACUCGGCACUGAAUCUAGAUACCAUAUUUUGCUUCUUACUUUUCCAAGACACUAGGCUUCCUUCAACAAAUACACAGAAGCAUGUAGUCGACCUUCUAUCACUUUUGGAUCCCGCCUAGUCAACAUCAAAAAAACACUCAAGUGCAAUAUGCUCAUGAUCUCUAUAGAGUAUACCGAGUCCAAGAGUCCCUUUUAGAUAACAUAGGAUUUGUUCUAGAGCGGCCCAAUGUUUCACCAUACCGAGUCUAGGAGUAUACCUAUUAGGAGGAAUGUUACCAUCAGAUUGUAUAGCAGAAGACAUACUCGAAGAGAUCCCACCAUCAGAUAUGAUUCUAUAGAUGAGCCACUCAUCAUACUCCUCUUGAUCCGGAGAGAUUUGUACAAAAGGAUAAAAAGGAACUUGCUCAGAAAAGACUACAUCUGUUGAGAUUAGAUAUUUGUUGAGGUCCGGAGAGUAACACUGAUACCCCUUCUGAAGCCGAGAAUAUCUCAAAAAAACACACUUCAAAGCUUUAGGAUCAAGUUUAGUCAUAUGAGGUCUGACAUUCCGAAUAUAACAAGUACUGCCAAACAGUCGUGGUUCAAGAGGAAAUAAUAGCUUUUUAGGAAAGAGGACAUUAUAAGAAGUAUUACCGUUUAGUACUGCGGAGGGCAUGCGAUUAAUAAGAAAGCAUGCAGUAGAGACAGCAUCGGCGCAAAAUUGCUUAGGAACUUACAUUUGAAACAAUAGAGCUCUAGCAGUCUCAAGGAGAUGUCGAUUCUUCCUUUCAGCUAUCUCAUUUUGAGCGGAUGUAUCAACACAUGACGAUUGGUGAAGAAUACUAUGUUGAGUCAUAUAAGCCUGGAAUGAUUCUGACAUAUAUUCUUUAGCAUUGUCGUUCAGCAAAAUUUGCAUGUAAACAGUAAAUUGAGUCUUGAUUUUAGCACAGAAGGCAAAAAAAUGAGAAAACACUUCCAAACGUUGCUUCAUAAAAUAAAUCCAAGUCAUUCUAAAGUAAUCAUCCACAAAAGUGAUAAAAUAUCUGAAUCUAGUCUUAGAUUCAACCGGGCAUGGGCCUUAAACAUCUGAAUGAACUAAUUCAAAAGCAUACUCAGCUCGUUUAUUGACUCUAGGACUUAAAGAGUUUCGAUGUUGUUUUGCAAAAUGAUAUGACUCACAUUCCAAUAAAGAUAUCUUAUGAAAUUGAGGGCAUAACUUCUUCAAAACUGGUAAAGAAGGGUGUCCCAACCGACGAUGUGCUUCAAAUGGAGACACGACACUGGAGCAGACAACAAACUGAGGCACCCAUGCAUCCAAAAUGUAGAGACUCCGAGAUACAUGUCCUUUACCAAUAAUUUGUUUCGUCACAAGAUCCUGAAUGAGACAAUGAUCAGGAAAAAAGGAAACGCAACAAUUUAGGCCUUUGAUAAGUUUACUCACAUAGAUUAAAUUAAAGGUAAGAUUAGGUAAACUUAGCACAGAUGAUAGGGUAAUAGAAGGAGUAGCUUUAACAGUCCAGAACCCUCAACAUUAUAGGUUGACCCAUCAGCUAUAAUAACAGGUGUUUUAUGAGAUCGAAAGGUAGUAAAAAUAUGAGAAUUACCUAUCUUGUGAUCCGUGGCAUCAAAAUCAAUGACCCAUUUAUAUGAAGAGAAAAUAAGACACGUUUUACCUAUAUCAGCUACCGAAGACGCUGGGAUAAUUUUAAUAAUAUGGGUCUUAAUAUCAGAAACCAUUUCAACCAAAACCCUAUACUCCUGUACCUUCAAACGAAUUAAAGGAAGAUAACAAAACCUAAUCUAAUGAACCAUAUCAAAAAACGCCUCCACACAACACCCAAACAACAAACGAACCACAGAUCUGACAAGAGGGCUGCAAGACAACUUUGGCGUCCUCCUAAAGUGGAUAGUAAGAGACAAAUAUUACCCUAGAUAGGUAACACAAAAGAACAGGAGUCCUGAGCCUCCAAAAAUUUUAAACUUGACGGAAGAGAAAAAAUUAAAUCUCUACGGGGAUGACUCUGAUACCAUGUAAUAAGAUAAGAAAUAAUUGGGCAAUUUCAGUAUAUUUCUUCAAUGAAGUAAGUGAGUAUAUAUACAUAUUAUAAGGCCUCGUUGAGACAACUCCUAAUAAUCAUCAAUCAAUCAAUUAACCUAUGAUUAUGUAAUCUCCUAUAAUUAUGUACAGAUUAUGUUCACAUUCUAAAUCAUGAAAAAUGAGAAGCUAUUUGCAUCACAAGGUGGGCCUUUCAUCCUCUCGCAUGUAUCAGAUCUUUAUAUUUGAGUUGGUGCAAAUUUUCUUCUGGAUCAUUGAGGAAGAUUUUGUGAAAGUAGCCGAGUUCCUUGAUGCAGCAGCGAAGUUGUCAUUGAACAUAAAGGCAGAUACUAAAAGUUCUCACUCUCAAUUUUUAGUUUGGUAUUGCUGAGUCUACAGAAUCAAAUAUUCAAUAUUUGGUCAUUAUAAUCUAAAGCCAAAGGUACUGAUGGAAUGGAAAGCAUGUUAGAAAGAUUGUGACUCAUUCCGAGUUACUGAAGCAGCUCAGAAUUGACUGGACCAGAGCUGAUUCCAAGAAUUCCAUGUGUAUCUGUUACACAGAUGAUAAGCUUUGCAAGAAAUUCAAUCAACUCUUCGUCAAGGAAAGAAUGCCUACAGUGUGAAUGUCUUCGUGAGGCUCUGAAGGGACGCAUCAGAGUUUAAGAGAAGUUGUGUCCUCUGUUGUAGUCAAGGCAGGAAGAGUAGCUACUAAGAAGCCACUAUUCAGCCAGGCAAAGAGUUGGUAUUGUUAUUACUAUUUUAAUGAUUCCCACUUUAGCUUUCUGUUUUGCUCUAUCUUUUUCUUUUGGUAAGGAAGGGAUUUGAUAGAAAUCUAUAUUUCAAGUUGCUUCAAGUUAAAUGCUUUAUGUUGAGCUUUGGAUAAGCUUAUUAGUCUGUUUAUAUCCAGUUAGUAACUUGGCUCUUAUGGGCUCUAAUAUUUUUAUCAUCUUGAAUGGUUUCUUCAAAAUGACCUUCCUUCUUCUUCUUUUAGUAUGAGCUUAAUGAUCUGUACAUAAAUCUGUGGCCCUGUCUCAAUUUUGCCUUUUUUGCUACGAUCAAGGCCUAGCAAGUUCAAGUUUUGCAGACUUUGCAGCCAAUGUUGGUGAAGAAGCUCUAGAAAAGAUGAAAUAUCUCCAUGCUUCUAUAAAACAUUUAUACUCUUUUUAGCAAUGCAUGUGGUAGGAAGAGUAAUGUAUUCUUUACAUAAUUGAUUAUUUUUUUCCUGUUUGGAAAAUAUUCAAUGCAUAUUUCAGUGCGUAAAGUGUUAUAAAAGAACUGUAUUUACUAUUGUAAUAAUUUCUUUUAGAUAUCGUUAAGUAGUUUUAAUAUUUAAUGAUAGUAAUUGUUAGAAGUAUUUGCCAAGGACUGCAUGAUGGGAUCAAAAAAUUGUCAGUGGCUUCUCAAGAGCAUACAGUAAACUGCAAUUAUUCAUGUUACAAAAUCAAAUUGAAGGAUAUCAUGAAUUGUCAUCACAAAUGUAUAUGUACUUUUCAACUAGCACUGCUAGGUGGGUACUGGGUACUGACUUUUAUUUUAAAGUUGUUGAUAAUGUACACCAAAGUCUUGGUUAGCUUUUCUAUAUGUUUAAACUCUUAAGUUAAAUAUCUAGCAGUACUUGAGGUUAUGCAUAUACUGCAUGUGUUCUUAAAUUGGCGAGUGUAUGUUGUUUGGAGUGAAUCCCUUUUUUUUUUUAAAAAAAAAAAUUAUUGUU